RNAcentral lists this ribosomal RNA (253 nucleotides) under uncultured bacterium. RNAcentral describes it as "partial 16S ribosomal RNA". It matches the Rfam family "Bacterial small subunit ribosomal RNA", at positions 524 to 776 of the family's 1533-position model. The record is from RNAcentral.
UACGGGGGGGGCAAGCGUUGUUCGGAAUUACUGGGCGUAAAGGGCUCGUAGGUGGCCAACUAAGUCAGACGUGAAAUCCCUCGGCUUAACCGAGGAACUGCGUCUGAUACUGGAUGGCUUGAGUUUGGGAGAGGGAUGCGGAAUUCCAGGUGUAGCGGUGAAAUGCGUAGAUAUCUGGAGGAACACCGGUGGCGAAGGCGGCAUCCUGGACCAAUACUGACGCUGAGGAGCGAAAGCCAGGGGAGCAAACGGG